Molecule: ribosomal RNA, 380 nt
Filed under: uncultured eukaryote
Lineage: Eukaryota
Description: partial 18S ribosomal RNA
Rfam family: Eukaryotic small subunit ribosomal RNA
Source: RNAcentral
CAAUAGCGUAUAUUAAAGUUGUUGCGGUUAAAAAGCUCGUAGUUGGAUUUCUGCUGAGAACGACCGGUCCGCCCUCUGGGUGUGUAUCUGGCUCUUUCUUGGCAUCUUCUUGGUGAACGUUGCUGCACUUGACUGUGUGGAGCGCUACCCAGGACUUUUACUUUGAGGAAAUUAGAGUGUUUCAAGCAGGCAUACGCCUUGAAUACAUUAGCAUGGAAUAAUAAGAUAGGACCUCGGUUCUAUUUUGUUGGUUUCUAGAGCUGAGGUAAUGAUUAAUAGGGAUAGUUGGGGGCAUUCGUAUUUAACUGUCAGAGGUGAAAUUCUUGGAUUUGUUAAAGACGGACUACAGCGAAAGCAUUUGCCAAGGAUGUUUUCAUUGA